GACAGAGGAGCCAAGCGUUGUCCGGAUUGACUGGGCGUAAAGCGCACGCAGGUGGUCGCGCAAGUGCCGUGUGAAAGCAGCUCGCUUAACGAGCUGAGGCCAUGGCAGACUGUGCGACUCGAGCCCGUGAGAGGUCCGUGGAAUUGCCGGUGUAGUGGUGAAAUGCGUAGAGAUCGGCAGGAACACCCAAGGGGAAGCCAGCGGACUGGCACGGUGCCGACACUGAGGUGCGAAAGCGUGGGGAGCAAACAGG
This 253-nucleotide ribosomal RNA is filed under the name uncultured bacterium. Its description in RNAcentral is "partial 16S ribosomal RNA". It matches the Rfam family "Bacterial small subunit ribosomal RNA", at positions 524 to 776 of the family's 1533-position model. The record is from RNAcentral.